Passer domesticus (house sparrow) is the source of this 1218-nucleotide long non-coding RNA. RefSeq lists it as uncharacterized. The record is from RefSeq and is a predicted model, not a curated record. The transcript has 4 exons. Lineage: Eukaryota; Metazoa; Chordata; Aves; Passeriformes; Passeridae.
CUCCAGCCUGUCACUUCGCUUUGGGAUUGCCCACGCAGAGAGCCAGGAAAUUGCUGCCAUUUCCCUGAAUGCUGGACAAUUUAUCCAUGCUUGUACCUUCGAGCCUGCCAGUGAAGUCACAUCUCCAUUGGCAACAUCACAAUCGUCUCCACAGCAACAAAUGUGAUGCUGCAGAUCGCUGAAACGUCUAUUUUUGUAAAGGGAAAUCAUCUCAGUGGCACGAUUUGGGGGUGACAUCUGCAUUGAGAGCUGAGCCCUUGCAGAGGGCAGCGCACAGAGCACAGACCAAUCCUGGCUGUGCAGUGACAUUUACCCUAAAAUCCCGCCCAGGCAAGCAGGAGAGGCCAGACAGAACUCCUACAAACGAAAGAGGAAAACAUGGAGGAAUAUUAAGCAGACAGAACUGGUUCACUCUGGAAUUUUACCAGGAGGAGAUUGACUCAGAGCACACAGAGCACCCCUCCCCUCAGGGGCUUCACUGCAUUUCCUGCUCACAGAUAAUGGACACACACCUGGGGAUGGCACCUUUGCAAUGCUGCAUUUCCAACACGCCAAACACUUCCCCCUUUCUUCACAAGUCCAGCAACUUCCUGAGAAUGCAGCUGCACUGAGGUAAUGUGCCAUUACACCCAUGUUGAAUUGAUGAGGAAAGGCAAAAAAGCCACUUUUUCUCCUUGAACUCCCAGCACUUCUGUGAUUUGCUGCAAGCAGACCACGGCGACAGGGAUUGUUUUCCUCUGUUUCAGAAAGUAACACGACCCACCAGCUAAAGUCCAGUCCUAAAGCUCACCCAGCCUGUGACAGCAGUGACACAGCUCAGCACCCACUGCAAAACAGAAGCCACUGACCACAAAAUACAAAGGACAGGGGUUAAAAAAAAUAAAUAAAAGAAAAAAAAAAGAAAAAAAAGGAAAAAAAAGAAAAUAUAUAUUUGUUUCUUAAUAAGACAAGGCAUUUUAUAUAAAAGAACAGGAGCAAAUGACUAAUUUUGCUUGUCCCCAGUGACCCCAUGCAGCUGCAACAAGACCUCAGUGAGGUUUAAGGCGUCAGGCAGAGCCUUUCACCUCCAGCCCAGUGGAAGUCACUGAGCUUAAGCUGCACAAAUAGAGAUGCUCAGAUGUUCCUGUCCUCACUUUAACUCAGCACACGCUGUCAGGGGGGGAACAUGCUUUUGGAGAUGGUGGGGGGUUUCCCAAGGACAAACCCACUUCAAAGCAA